Molecule: ribosomal RNA, 450 nt
Filed under: uncultured bacterium
Lineage: Bacteria
Description: bacterial SSU rRNA
Rfam family: Bacterial small subunit ribosomal RNA
Source: RNAcentral
GUGGGGAAUAUUGGACAAUGGGCGAAAGCCUGAUCCAGCCAUGCCGCGUGUGUGAAGAAGGUCUUCGGAUUGUAAAGCACUUUAAGUUGGGAGGAAGGGCAGUAAGUUAAUACCUUGCUGUUUUGACGUUACCGACAGAAUAAGCACCGGCUAACUUCGUGCCAGCAGCCGCGGUAAUACGAAGGGUGCAAGCGUUAAUCGGAAUUACUGGGCGUAAAGCGCGCGUAGGUGGUUUUGUAAGUUGGAGGUGAAAUCCCCGGGCUCAACCUGGGAACUGCCUCCAAAACUGCAUGACUAGAGUACGGUAGAGGGUAGUGGAAUUUCCUGUGUAGCGGUGAAAUGCGUAGAUAUAGGGAGGAACACCAGUGGCGAAGGCGACUACCUGGACUGAUACUGACACUGAGGUGCGAAAGCGUGGGGAGCAAACAGGAUUAGAUACCCCUGUAGUCC